RNAcentral lists this transfer RNA (77 nucleotides) under Caudoviricetes sp. RNAcentral describes it as "tRNA-Trp". It matches the Rfam family "tRNA". Rfam says of the family: Transfer RNA (tRNA) molecules are approximately 80 nucleotides in length. Their secondary structure includes four short double-helical elements and three loops (D, anti-codon, and T loops). Lineage: Duplodnaviria; Heunggongvirae; Uroviricota; Caudoviricetes. The record is from RNAcentral.
GCAGCGAUAGCUCAACUGGCAGAGCAACGGUCUCCAAAACCGUAGGUUGACUGGUUCAAAUCCAUCUCGCUGUGCCA